Molecule: ribosomal RNA, 981 nt
Filed under: Triticum aestivum (bread wheat)
Lineage: Eukaryota; Viridiplantae; Streptophyta; Magnoliopsida; Poales; Poaceae
Description: partial small subunit ribosomal RNA
Source: RNAcentral
AUGGCCGGCGGCUACGGCGGCGCCGGUGGCAACCUCAAGAACAUGGUCAUCGCCUUCCUCGUCCCGCUCCCGUCCAUCCUCUUCUACCUCACCUUCGUCCGCUCCCAAGACGGCCACAGCGCCGGCCCGGUGUCCUCGUGGUGCGCCGCGCACCCGCUCCUCCUCGCCAACGCCCUCUUCCUCCUCAACGUCGACGUCCUCUUCUGGCUCAUCGGCCACCUCCUCUCCAACAACUGGCUCAUCGACCUGUACUGGACCGUCAUCCCGGUGAUGCUGCUGCACUACUUCCGGGCGCACCCGGCCGCCGUGGCGAACACGGCGAGGUCGGCGGCAGCGGUGGCGCUGACCUGGGUGUGGAGCGCCAGGCUGACGCACAACUACUUCAGGAGGGAAGGGUGGCAGUGGGGAAAGCAGGAGGACUGGAGGUUCUCCGAGAUGCGCGGGCAGUACGGCAAGACCUGGUGGUGGAUGUCAUUCUUCGCCGUCUACCUCUCGCAGCAGGUGUUUCUGAUUGGCAUAUGCCUGCCGAUGUACGCCAUUCACUCCAGCGACCAGCCAUUGGGCAUCUGGGACCUCGUGGCGACAGUUGUCUGCAUUACCGGAGUCGUGAUCGCCUACUUUGCUGACACCCAGCUGCACCAGUUCGUCACCAGGAACGAGAAACUGAAGCAGCUAGGCGAACCGACAGUCCCCACCCUCGAGGACGGCCUGUGGGGGUACUCGCGCCACCCCAACUACUUCGGCGAGCAGCUCUGGUGGUGGGGUGUGUACCUCUUCGCCUGGAACCUGGGGCAGCGGUGGAUGUUCAUCGGGGCGCUUGUCAACAGCAUGUGCCUCGGCUACGUCACCGUGCUCGUCGAGCGGCGCAUGCUGAAGCAGGAGCACCGGGCAGAGGCCUACAGGCUGUACCAGAAGAGGACCUCUGUUCUGAUCCCCUGGUUCAGGAAGUCUCUCCCUGAACCAAAGGAAAAGGAGACUUAG